GCCUACGGGACGCAGCAGUGGGGAAUUUUGGACAAUGGGCGCAAGCCUGAACGAGCAAUGCCGCGUGAACGAGGAAGGUCUUCGGAUCGUAAAGUUCUGUUGAAGGGGAAAAAGAGCGGAGAGAGGAAAUGGUCUCCGAUUGAUAUUACCCUUCGAGGAAGUCACGGCUAACUACGUGCCAGCAGCCGCGGUAAUACGUAGGUGGCGAGCGUUAUCCGGAAUGAUUGGGCGUAAAGGGUGCGUAGGCGGCCUGCUAAGUCUGGAGUGAACGGUACCGGCUCAACCGGUACAGGCUCUGGAAACUG
This 305-nucleotide ribosomal RNA is filed under the name uncultured bacterium. RNAcentral describes it as "bacterial SSU rRNA". It matches the Rfam family "Bacterial small subunit ribosomal RNA", at positions 337 to 635 of the family's 1533-position model. The record is from RNAcentral.